Molecule: non-coding RNA, 374 nt
Organism: Oreochromis aureus
Lineage: Eukaryota; Metazoa; Chordata; Actinopteri; Cichliformes; Cichlidae
Source: the annotation of a RefSeq genome assembly
AUCACUGUGGUAUUCGGACAAGGCACCAAGCUGACUGUGACAAGCUCCAGCCUCCCUCCUCCUGUCCUGACAGUCUUCCCUCCGUCCAGUGCUGAGCUCCAGUCCAACACAGCUUCUCUGGUCUGUCUGUCCAGUCAGUCUGUGAAAUUUGCAGAUGUCAGCUGGUUGGCUGGUGGGAGUCCAGUGAGCAGUCAGAUCUCUACCAGCACUGCUGUUCAGAGACCAGACCAGACUUACCAAAUCAGCAGCUCUCUGACCAUCCAGACAUCAGACUGGAACAUGGAUAAGGUUUAUACCUGUAAAGUGUCUUUGGGCUCCCAGACUUCAGAGAAAACCAUCAAGAAGUCAGAAUGUCCCACUGAAUAGUCGAGGAC